Molecule: ribosomal RNA, 482 nt
Filed under: uncultured bacterium
Lineage: Bacteria
Description: partial 16S ribosomal RNA
Rfam family: Bacterial small subunit ribosomal RNA
Source: RNAcentral
AUUGAACGCUGGCGGCAUGCUUUACACAUGCAAGUCGAACGGUAACAGGCCGCAAGGUGCUGACGAGUGGCGAACGGGUGAGUAAUGCAUCGGAACGUGCACAGUCGUGGGGGAUAACUACUCGAAAGAGUAGCUAAUACCGCAUACGAUCUAUGGAUGAAAGCGGGGGACCGAAAGGCCUCGCGCGAUUGGAGCGGCCGAUGUCAGAUUAGGUAGUUGGUGGGGUAAAGGCUCACCAAGCCAACGAUCUGUAGCUGGUCUGAGAGGACGACCAGCCACACUGGGACUGAGACACGGCCCAGACUCCUACGGGAGGCAGCAGUGGGGAAUUUUGGACAAUGGGCGCAAGCCUGAUCCAGCAAUGCCGCGUGCAGGAAGAAGGCCUUCGGGUUGUAAACUGCUUUUGUACGGAACGAAACGGCUCUGGUUAAUACCCGGGGCUAAUGACGGUACCGUAAGAAUAAGCACCGGCUAACUACGUG